RNAcentral lists this ribosomal RNA (427 nucleotides) under uncultured bacterium. RNAcentral describes it as "partial 16S ribosomal RNA". It matches the Rfam family "Bacterial small subunit ribosomal RNA", at positions 355 to 774 of the family's 1533-position model. The record is from RNAcentral.
UGGGGAAUAUUGCACAAUGGGCGCAAGCCUGAUGCAGCCAUGCCGCGUGUAUGAAGAAGGCCUUCGGGUUGUAAAGUACUUUCAGCGGGGAGGAAGGUGUUGAGGUUAAUAACCUCAGCAAUUGACGUUACCCGCAGAAGAAGCACCGGCUAACUCCGUGCCAGCAGCCGCGGUAAUACGGAGGGUGCAAGCGGUAAUCGGAAUUACUGGGCGUAAAGCGCACGCAGGCGGUCUGUCAAGUCGGAUGUGAAAUCCCCGGGCUCAACCUGGGAACUGCAUUCGAAACUGGCAGGCUAGAGUCUUGUAGAGGGGGGUAGAAUUCCAGGUGUAGCGGUGAAAUGCGUAGAGAUCUGGAGGAAUACCGGUGGCGAAGGCGGCCCCCUGGACAAAGACUGACGCUCAGGUGCGAAAGCGUGGGGAGCAAACA